This 135-nucleotide ribosomal RNA is filed under the name Ochrobactrum sp. 23m. RNAcentral's name for it is "partial 16S ribosomal RNA". It matches the Rfam family "Bacterial small subunit ribosomal RNA", at positions 355 to 506 of the family's 1533-position model. Lineage: Bacteria; Pseudomonadati; Pseudomonadota; Alphaproteobacteria; Hyphomicrobiales; Brucellaceae. The record is from RNAcentral.
UGGGGAAUAUUGGACAAUGGGCGCAAAGCCUGAUCCAACCUAUGCCGCGUGAGUGAUGAAGGCCCUAGGGUUGUAAAGCUCUUUCACCGGUGAAGAUAAUGACGUAACCGGAGAAGAAGCCCCGGCUAACUUCGU